This 193-nucleotide ribosomal RNA is filed under the name uncultured freshwater bacterium. RNAcentral describes it as "partial 16S ribosomal RNA". It matches the Rfam family "Bacterial small subunit ribosomal RNA", at positions 335 to 525 of the family's 1533-position model. The record is from RNAcentral.
ACUCCUACGGGAGGCAGCAGUGAGGAAUAUUGGACAAUGGGCGCAAGCCUGAUCCAGCCAUGCCGCGUGCAUGAUGAAGCAUCUAUGGUGUGUAAACUGCUUUUGUACAGGAAGAAACCCUCCCACGUGUGGGAGAUUGACGGUACUGUAAGAAUAAGGAUCGGCUAACUCCGUGCCAGCAGCCGCGGUAAUA